Molecule: long non-coding RNA, 621 nt
Organism: Orcinus orca (killer whale)
Lineage: Eukaryota; Metazoa; Chordata; Mammalia; Artiodactyla; Delphinidae
Exons: 3
Source: RefSeq, a predicted model, not a curated record
ACAAGCAUCCUUAUAAGUAAAGGAGGGCAGAGGAAGUCAGAGAAGCUGCCUCUAGAAGCUAAAAAAUGCGAGAAAAUGGACUCUCCCCUAGAGACCCCAGAAAGGAAUGCAGCUCUGCUGAUACCUUGAUUUUAGCCCCGUGAUGCUCAUCUUGGACUUCUGACCUCCAGAACUGACACAAACCAUGUGAUUGAAAAUGAAGAAUUCAGUCAAAUCAACUGUCUGUUGUCUCAAGACCUAUAUGUAAAUACAGCACCUGGAGAAAUAUGGUUUCUGACUGCCACCUGGAAUUCAUGGUUUCUGAUGAGAAAUUAGUUGUAAUCUUAUUGAUGAUCUCAUAUAUGUGAUGAGUCACUUCUUUUUUUUUUUUUUUUUUUUUGCUUCUUUUAAGAUUAUCUCUACCUUUGCUUUCAACAUUUUGAUUACAAAGUACUUAGCUGUGAAUCUCUUUGUGUUUAACCUACAUGAUGUAUGAUGAGCUUCUUGGUUGUGUUGACUAAUUUUUUAAAUUAAAUUUGGGAAGCUUCUGGGUAUUAAUUUUUGGAAUAGUUUUUCCACUACUUUCUCUUUCUUCUCUCCUUCUAGACUCACAUUAUGAGAUGUUGGUGUAUUUGAUGAUGU